GUAAAUAGAUUUUCAUCUAAUAAGAAAAUAAUAUGUACAUAUUUUCCAACAAAGAAUCUCAUUAUAUUUCACCUUCUCUUUUAGGAUUCCGACAUUCAUAUUCAACAGAAAGUAAUAUUUCUUAUGGUGAUCAGGGAUCCAAAGGAUACUGCAGUAAGUAUUCUUUAGUUUGUCAGUAGUUUAUUUCCCAUUAUUAACACCUUUCUAGAUUGUUAUUGCUUUGAGGAAAGACAAUCUUUACCAAUUCAUAUAAAUACUAAGUAACAGUUAGAGAAUCUAAUAGUGUUGGGUUAGUAAGGUCUGUCAGUUGAUAAAUUGCAAAUUUAUCAGGAAGAAAGGAAAAAUAUAGAGAUUGAUGACUGAGAUAAAAGAAGGGAAGAGAAAAGAG
Molecule: long non-coding RNA, 388 nt
Filed under: Oryctolagus cuniculus (rabbit)
Lineage: Eukaryota; Metazoa; Chordata; Mammalia; Lagomorpha; Leporidae
Description: lncRNA (ENSOCUG00000037109.1)
Source: RNAcentral